RNAcentral lists this ribosomal RNA (458 nucleotides) under uncultured bacterium. Its description in RNAcentral is "bacterial SSU rRNA". It matches the Rfam family "Bacterial small subunit ribosomal RNA", at positions 365 to 832 of the family's 1533-position model. The record is from RNAcentral.
UUCGCAAUGCCCGAAAGGGUGACCGAGCGACGCCGCGUGGAGGACGAAGGCCUUCGGGUUGUAAACUCCUGUCGAGGGGGAGGAAGGGGCAACCUUGACCGAUCCCUGGAGGAAGCACGGGCUAAGUUCGUGCCAGCAGCCGCGGUAAGACGAACCGUGCGAACGUUAUUCGGAAUCACUGGGCUUAAAGCGCGUGUAGGCGGAUGGGAACGUCGGUCUUUGAAAGCCCCCGGCUCAUCCGGGGAAGCGGAGCCGAAACGACCGAUCUGGAGGGACGUAGGGGGACCUGGAACUUCCGGUGGAGCGGUGAAAUGCGUUGAGAUCGGAAGGAACGCCCGUGGCGAAAGCGACGUGCUGGACCUCUUCUGACGCUGAGGCGCGAAAGCUAGGGGAGCGAACGGGAUUAGAUACCCCGGUAGUCCUAGCCCUAAACGAUGGGCACUAAGUAGAGGGGUUUU